GUCCGCCCAGGUCUUACCUAGUGUGUCUAGACAGUGAAUAUGCUAUGGGUAUAUGUAUGCCCGCGGGCCUCUUGCCUAAGCACUCCCUAGGUGCCUUCCCCUUCCCCCCUGGGAACAAAUGAAACAGAAUAUUAAACAAUUUCAAACAAACUAAGAAACAAAAGGAUGUCAAAUAAGCUCUAUCUGAGCAACAAACUCACAGAACAUACCACUUUCCAGCAAAAUCAACCUCUAUCAAAAUCAACCUCUAUCACAAUCAAUCUCAGCAAUCCCUACCUCCAGCAAAAUCUCUACCUCCAAAAAGAUCUCCCUCCUGAACAGAACACUGGCUUUUAUAUAGCUUCAGAAGGAAUGGGUAAUUGGAGACAGCUGUGUCUUGACGAGGGGGCGGGGUCAGCUCUCCAAUUAGCCCUGGAGUCAACCAAUCAGCUGCUUGAGGGAUUUCAGGAAGCCAUUUCCUGAAAUAAACACAUGCAAAUACACAAUCUACAACACAUAAUCUGGGGAACGUAACAGUGCCAUUCAUCCGCCACCAUCACCUCAUGUUUCAGCAUGAUAAUGCACAGCUCCAUGUCGCAAGGAUCUGUCCCAGUUCUUCCAUGGCCUACAUACUCACCAGACAUGUCAACCAUUGAGCAUGUUUGGGAUGCUCUGGAUCGACAUGUACGACAGCGUGUUCCAGUUCCCCCCAAUAUCCAGCAACUUUGCACAGCCAAUGAAGAGGAGUGGGACAACAUUCCACAAUCAACAGCCUGAUCAACUCUACGAGGUAAAUGUUGUUGACACCAGAUACUGACUGGUUUUCUGAUCCACGCCCCUACCUUUUUUAAAAGGUAUCUGACCAACAGAUGCAUAUCUGUAUUCCCACUCAUGUGAAAUCCAUAGAUUAGGGCCUAAUGAAUUUAUUUAAAUUGACUGAUUUCCUCAUAUGAACUGUAACUCAGUAAAAUCUUUGAAAUUCUUGCGCGUUGCGUUUAGAUUUUUGUAUAGCUGGUUAAUUGUGGUCCCAUUUAAGGUCUGUAGGGCAGCCUGUAUCUGGCCCACCUCUUGGCCGGGGACCUAGGUGGGAACUCAGCCAUGGCCCCAUGUAAGGUCUGUAGGGCAGCCUGUAUCUGGCCCAUCUCUUGGCCGGGGACCUAGGUGGGAUCUCAGCCGUACCUUUGUGCAGUAUGUGAACCUGGGCUGAACCUUUUUAUUUGACAAUUAUUUUUCACUGUAUGAUACAAAGUAUUCAGACCUCUUGACUUUUUCCACAUUUUGUAACGUUACAGCCUUAUUCUAAAAAUGGAUUAAAUAAAACAUUUCCCUCAUUAAUCUACACACAAUACCCCAUAAUGACAUCACAAUAGCCCAUAAUCACAAAGUUAAAAACCUUAUUUACAUAAGUAUUCAGACCCUUUGCUAUGAGACUCGAAAUUGAACUCAGGUGCAUCCUGUUUCCAUUAAUCAUCCUUGAGAUGUUUCUAUAACUUGACUGGAGUCCACCUGUGGUAAAUUCAAUUGAUUGGACAUGAUUUGGAAAGAAACACACCUGGCUAUAUAAGGUCCCACAGUCGACAGUGCAUGUCAGAGCAAAAACCAAGCCAUGAGGUCAAAGAAAUUGUCCGUAGAGCUCAGAGAGGAUUGUGAUGAGGUACAGAUCUGGGGGAAGGGUACCAAAAAAUGUCUGCAGUAUUGAAGGUCCCCAAGAACACAGUGGCCUCCAUCAUUAAAUCAAAGAAGUUUGGAACCACAAAGACUCUUCCUAGAUCUGUCCGCCCGGCCAAACUGAGCAGCAUCAUGCUGUGGGGAUGUUUUUCAGCGGCAGGGACUGGGAGGGAAAAGAUCAAGGGAAAGAUGAACGAUGCGAUGCAAAGUACAGAGAGAUCCUUGAUGAAAACCUGCCAAAGGUGCUUCAACAAAGUACUGAGUAAAGGGUCUGAAUACUUAUGUAAAUGUGAUAUUUUUUUACAUUUUUUUUAUACAUUUCAAAAAAAUCUGUUUUUGCUUUGUCAUUAUGGGGUAUUGUGUGUAGAUUAAUGAGAGAAAAACAAUUAAACCAUUUUCCUCCCUCUAGCUGGUGUUAUAGGUGAUAUAAUGUGUUAGUGCCCAGACGGCAUCCCCAGCCACGUCCUCAGAGCCUGCGCAGACCAGCUGGCUGUUUACGGACAUAUUCAAUCUCUCCAGCACUAACACAUUAUAUCACCUAUAACACCAGCUAGAACAUUAAAUAUUCAGUCAAAAAUGAUACAACUUUACAUUAUUUCAUGAUGAAUAAAAUAAAUCAUUAAUCUAAACAAUUUGAGGAAUUGUCUUUCAGAAAGAGUGUAGCAGAGGACUUAAUUGGUUGACAGAGAAUCAAGAGCAAAGGAUUGUGGGAUAGAUAGUAGAGUGGAAGGAGGGCAGAAAUGUUUUGGGCAGGAGGAGCUACUUAGGUCCAAAAGGCACUGUGUGCUUUUGGUCCAGCUGGUUCGAAUUCCAGAGCAAGGAACUUCAGCCUCAAUUUCUCUGGAUGAAAGUGUCUGCUAAAUGACUAUAAUCAUAGAUCUCAAUCAGUUGAAUCAGGACUGUUAUAUAGCUGGACCAAAAGCCUACAGUAGUCAGGGCAUCUUAGCAUAGCGUCUCUCUGCCAGGUGGGGCCUCGUUAGGGCUGUUACGGUUACCAUUACCGGCAGUCAAAUUCCACGUCACGGUAAUUAGGCAUCUCCAAGCUCUGCUGCUGGUGAUUGUUAACCAACUAAACUUGCUAACUACCUGGUACUCAGCAUUUUAUUGUGCCUCUAAUCACUCUGACAUCAAUGUAAAAUCAAAUCAAACACUUCAUGAGAGCCCAUGAGCUCAAGUGGAGCAACGUUUCUAUAGGGUAUGUCAUUAUGUAAGAAUACAGAGUGAUGACCUCUAUUAAAAAUAGGAGGAACCCAUCAGCUUUCUAUAGGCUAAGCCUACUAUAUUUAUUUAAGAACGUUCCUGAUAUUAAGCACAUUGCUUCUCUUUACAACAGGAGUAUAGCCUACCUGGCUGGCAUGAGAAUGAACCAGGGGAAACGCAUCCUCCAUUCUCUAUUCAAAUGCAUCUAUUUUUUU
This is a long non-coding RNA of Oncorhynchus tshawytscha (Chinook salmon), 3062 nucleotides long. Lineage: Eukaryota; Metazoa; Chordata; Actinopteri; Salmoniformes; Salmonidae. The record is from Ensembl.